Biomphalaria glabrata is the source of this 1805-nucleotide long non-coding RNA. RefSeq lists it as uncharacterized. Lineage: Eukaryota; Metazoa; Mollusca; Gastropoda; Planorbidae. The record is from RefSeq and is a predicted model, not a curated record. The transcript has 2 exons.
UUUCUGUGAUGGAUAUUCACAUUCCGAGUUGUGCAUUUACUUUGUGUUUUUUUAGAAUGGCAUUUUUAUUUGUUUAUUUUAUGUGAUGGCUGUUAGAAGUCUGACUUGUGCCUCCUUUUUAUGAUCGGUGUGGAGUUCGAAACUGGACUUGGUGGGGUUUUUUUGUGAUCAAUGUUCGGCAUAAGACUUGUUUUGUUUUUUUUAAUCAACUGAUUUUUUUUGGUAGUGGCUGAUUGAAUUGACAUUUGGGUCUUUAUUGAUGGCAGUUCGGACAUGUGUUUUUUUAAUUGAUGUUCUUUAUCAGAUUUGUUUGUUUUUCUUUUAUCAAUGUUUUAAAUUGGACUUGUGCAUUUUUGUGAUCAAUGUUCUGCAUUAGACUUGUGGGCUUUUUUUUUUUUGUGAUGGCUUUUUAUGAGCUCUGUUUGAAAUUAGACUUGUGUGUUUUUUGCGAUCAUUGUUUAGUAUCGAAUUUUUUUUUAUUUUUUUUUAAAGAAUCAUGUGCUUUUUUUUAGUAGCUGAAUGAAUUGACAUUUUCUUCUUUGGAGAUGGCUGUUUUGAAUCAGACAUGUGUAUAUUACUUAAGCUCUUCAUCGGAUUUGUGUGUUUUUAUGAUCAAUAUUGUGUUUUUCGUAGUGGUUGUUUAAAUUAAUUGGUUUUUUUUUUGUGAUGGCUGUUUGGAUUCAGACUUUUGCAUUUGUUUGUUUGUUUGUUUGUUGUUAUUUAGAAUUAACUUGAUUAUUUUUUGGCAGUUAAUAUUUGGAAUCUACUUGAUAACUUUUCUUUAUGACUGCUUGGAAUCGACUUUUGUGUUAUUUGUAGUGGCUGUCUGGAAUUAUGUUGUAUUAUUUUGUUAUGGCCUUUCAGAAUCAAAUUUAUAUUAUUUUUUUUUAGGUUAUUUAGAUUUGAUUUAUUUUUUUUUUGCUUUAGCUAUUAUAAUCCAAAUUUGCUUUUUUGUGAUGACUUUUCAUAUUGACACUGGUUGAAUAAAAAUUUAAUUAUUUUUUAUUUCACAUGAUAAAAGUUUACCUUUUAUUUUGCAGUAAUUAGAUUCAUUGUGAAGAUGUGUGCACUGGGCUGGAACAUUUCCAGAGAAAGCUGGACUAGCCAUGCAUCAGCAUACUAGCCAAGAUUGAUACCUCUCCACAAAUCAACAAAGACAUCAAUGAAGCUUUGUUAAAGCUAGUGACAAUUUACAUGUUUUCUUAUGUGGCUUAAUUAUAAUAAUGUCAAGAAAGCUAAUUAAAUAAGAACUAUACAUUUUAUUGUCAGGCUUAUGUUAGUCUUACCUAUUUCUGUAAUUUCUUAUUCUUCAUUAUGGGGGGCAUUAUGAAUCUUAGAUAGUUUUCAAUGGACCUCAUUCACCAAUUGUAAACAAACAACAUUUAGCCACAUGGUGCUUUAUCUCUUCUAUAUAAUUUACGAUCUCAUGUGUAAUUCAUGAUGGUUGUCACGAGACAGUUUUUUUCAUUGUUUUAUCAAUAAGAUCACAUGACUAAAUGUUGGUGAAUGAGGUCCAUUCUAAGAUAAGUUAAUUUUUAUUGAUUUAAUCAAAUGGAUAUUCAGUUUGACUACAAUUUUGCUUAUAAAAAGCUCAAUCGUAUAGUUUUGUAUUAAAUAAUAGUUUAAUUGCGUUUUAGGUACUGAUAGUUAGUAUGCUAUGUAAUAUUAAAAUGCAGUUUUUUAUUAUUAAAAAUCAUUGUUAUGUAAAUAAUAUAAGCUAAGCAGGGGGUCUACCGAAAAGCAGAAAACAUGGCAAGGGGUCUACGAGACAAAAAAGUUUGGGAACUACUGGUCUACAGUGAAAU